GACGAACGCUGGCGGCGCGCUUAACACAUGCAAGUCGAGCGAGAACCAGGACUUCGGUCCUGGGGACAGCGGCGAACGGGUGAGUAACACGUGGAUAACCUGCCCUCGGGCACCGGGAUAGCCCGAGGAAACUCGGAUUAAUACCGGAUAGCCCUUCCGACUCUCGAGUCGGUCCGAAAAGGUAGCUUCGGCCUCUGGCCGGGGAUGGGUCCGCGGCGGAUUAGCUUGUUGGUGGGGUAACGGCCUACCAAGGCANCGAUCCGUAGCUGGUCUGAGAGGACGAUCAGCCACACUGGGACUGAGACACGGCCCAGACUCCUACGGGAGGCAGCAGUGGGGAAUCUUGCGCAAUGGGCGAAAGCCUGACGCAGCGACGCCGCGUGAGGGAAGAAGGCCUUC
RNAcentral lists this ribosomal RNA (399 nucleotides) under uncultured bacterium. Its description in RNAcentral is "bacterial SSU rRNA". It matches the Rfam family "Bacterial small subunit ribosomal RNA", at positions 28 to 419 of the family's 1533-position model. The record is from RNAcentral.